GACGAACGCUGGCGGCGUGCUUAACACAUGCAAGUCGAACGGAAAGGCCCUGCUUUUGUGGGGUGCUCGAGUGGCGAACGGGUGAGUAACACGUGAGUAACCUGCCCUUGACUUUGGGAUAACUUCAGGAAACUGGGGCUAAUACCGGAUAGGAGCUCCUGCUGCAUGGUGGGGGUUGGAAGAUUCGGCGGUUGGGGAUGGACUCGCGGCUUAUCAGCUUGUUGGAGGGGUAGUGGCUUACCAAGGCUUUGACGGGUAGCCGGCCUGAGAGGGUGACCGGCCACAUUGGGACUGAGAUACGGCCCAGACUCCUACGGGAGGCAGCAGUGGGGAAUAUUGCACAAUGGGCGGAAGCCUGAUGCAGCAACGCCGCGUGCGGGAUGACGGCCUUCGGGUUGUAAACCGCUUUCGCCUGUGACGAAGCGUGAGUGACGGUAAUGGGUAAAGAAGCACCGGCUAACUACGUG
This 467-nucleotide ribosomal RNA is filed under the name uncultured bacterium. RNAcentral's name for it is "partial 16S ribosomal RNA". It matches the Rfam family "Bacterial small subunit ribosomal RNA", at positions 28 to 507 of the family's 1533-position model. The record is from RNAcentral.